ACUUCCUAUAUAUCAAUGUUUACCUUCGGACCAUUCCGGAGCUCCUCGUGACGUCCUGGAUCUCAUCCGGGACUCUGAACAACUUUCGGUUACCAACACCUAUAACUCAACUAUAUCGAAAUGUCAUCGAACCUUAAGUGUGCAGACCCUGCGGGUUUGAGAACUAUGCAGACAUGACCCGAGACACUCCUCGGUCGAUAUCCAACAGCGGGANNNNNNNNCCCAUAUUGGAUCCUACAUAUUCUCCGAAGAUCUUAUCGAUUGAACCUCACUGCCAAGGAUUCAUAU
RNAcentral lists this long non-coding RNA (288 nucleotides) under Hordeum vulgare. Its description in RNAcentral is "long non-coding RNA (HVUL_LNC017637)". The record is from RNAcentral. Lineage: Eukaryota; Viridiplantae; Streptophyta; Magnoliopsida; Poales; Poaceae.